This 1429-nucleotide long non-coding RNA is filed under the name Monodelphis domestica (gray short-tailed opossum). RNAcentral's name for it is "lncRNA (ENSMODG00000033846.2)". Lineage: Eukaryota; Metazoa; Chordata; Mammalia; Didelphimorphia; Didelphidae. The record is from RNAcentral.
UAAACCCCACAUUCUUGUAAUUAAUUCCCUCCUCACAUCCAUCUCUGUGAAUCCCUAAUUACCUUUAAGACUCUGGUCAUGUGCCACUUCCUACAGGGAGCCUUUCUUGAUCUUCCUAACAGCAUCAAGUUUUGUUUGGUCACUCCCUCAUCAAAUUAUCAUGCCUAUAUAAUGGAGGGCCUGAGCAAUAAAGACCUUGGCCUCAGAGAAUGCCCAGAUUUUCCCUUCUAGAAACCUAGAAAAAAUAUGUGUAAUAGUAUUAAUUACAAGAAUGUGGGGUUUAUAAGGGGCAAAGAGGCAGGAAAUGAAACAUUUAAGUUCUACAAACAGCAAAUAGACCAUGGAACUGGAACAUGGAAUACAAGAUUCUAAUCUAAUACUUGGAGGCUUGAUGGGCCCAUGUCCAGCCAUGAAGGACUUAUGGUUUCUUGUUGGGUAAUGAAGACACUUGUGGUUUGCUGAGAAGCUGGAAGAACUGAUGCCUAAGGAGACAUUCAUCUAGAACUGAGUUCUCAUACAAAAGGAUUGAUGGACCCUUCCUUUGGCCCUUUGGUUCUCUUUUGCUUCUUGGUGGUGAAGGAGGCAGAACUGUUGUGAAUUCAUAUCUGGAGAAAAGAAUGCCCAGGCAACCAAUGACUUCAGAAGAUCCAUCAAAAUCAUCCGAGAUUCUGUUGGCAGCUGGAGUAAGUUACAGAGACUACCAAGAUCUUGUAGCAGUAUGAGUUAAGUCCAGUGAGGAGCCACCAUUGUAGUAAAGCCACCUGCCUGGCCCAACCCAGCAAGAGAAUGCUAAGCCACCGCUUCUUUCUAGUGAGCUCAGAAGGGCUCAGAGGCCUCCGGCAAUGGGAAACACCCACAACUCUGCUCUUCCCAAGGACCUCUUUGAUGAAAAUGAAACAUUUCCAAACAACCUUUCAUCAUAACUGGCAUUGCCAUGGGAAAUGUGAGAUAAUACCUGAUCCAACCCUUGUGAAAUCUCUCCCAAGCUACCAGCCUAAUUUCUUUUUCUUUUUUUUUAAAGAAGAGCUUUUAAGAUCUGGUGAUAUUUUCCUUGUAAUUUCAUGUAAACUGUACUUGUGGUACAGGAAGUGCUUCAGUCCAACUGUAUCUGCCAAUAAGGAUUUGCAAAAGUGUGUGAGAUGGAAAUGCAGAGAAGAUUGUUGUACAUUUUGUUGAGUUGAACCCAAGAGUCAAUUUUCUUUCCCUGAAAGAAAAAUUUGUCGGUAGCCCUUGCCUGCUGAUGUUCUUCCUGCAAGAAAACGCAGCUGAAUUUAUGAAUAUGAGAAGAUUAAAAAAAAUAACCAAUAGGGCACAUUCGAUGAAACCAGCCACAUGCAAAAGAGGCUUUAAGUCAUUUCUAGGAAUGCUUGGAAAGGGGCCUCAAAUGUGAAAAUCAUAAAAAAAAAUUAAUCCUUACAACUUGGCUGCU